This 279-nucleotide ribosomal RNA is filed under the name Triticum aestivum (bread wheat). Its description in RNAcentral is "partial small subunit ribosomal RNA". The record is from RNAcentral. Lineage: Eukaryota; Viridiplantae; Streptophyta; Magnoliopsida; Poales; Poaceae.
AUGCCAAACAAACACUGCUCCGAGGUACUAGACAAAAGCCUUCGAGAUAUUCUCAGGUUUAUUAAUGAAAAUUGUGAUGAAAAGCCAUUUGGGGGAAUGAUAGUAAUACUAGGAGGCGAUGUAAGACAAAUCCUGCCAGUUAUAACCAAAGGAAGGAUAGAGCGGAUAGUGAAUGCUUCAAUCAGAAGGUCAUAUAUGUGGAAACACUUAGAAAUAUUUGAGUUAACACAAAACAUGCGGCUGAAGUGUUUGUCACAUGAUCCAAUACAAAAGCAAUAA